RNAcentral lists this long non-coding RNA (280 nucleotides) under Elaeis guineensis (African oil palm). Its description in RNAcentral is "long non-coding RNA (EGUI_LNC054514)". The record is from RNAcentral. Lineage: Eukaryota; Viridiplantae; Streptophyta; Magnoliopsida; Arecales; Arecaceae.
CAUCAGUGAUACCUAGUAGUAUGUAGUAGUAAUCUAGUAGAAUAAAAGUAUGAACCCUUAGGUACAGUUAUCGUAUGAUUCAAUCCUUCUAUUAUGAGUCCUGACUUGAUAAAGGUCAUGGAGAACUCGUCAGAUCCUAUCAUCAGUCAUAUAUUAGAUUGACUAAACUCGAGUUCACUUAUGAAUCUCAUAGAAACUCUUUUUUAGUAUUCAUAUUUACUUCAGCCAAAGACUUUCUGAACUCAGUCUUGUAAAUUACAUAGAACUUCUCAUUUUCCAC